RNAcentral lists this ribosomal RNA (602 nucleotides) under Oceanobacillus kimchii. RNAcentral's name for it is "bacterial SSU rRNA". It matches the Rfam family "Bacterial small subunit ribosomal RNA", at positions 505 to 1105 of the family's 1533-position model. The record is from RNAcentral. Lineage: Bacteria; Bacillati; Bacillota; Bacilli; Caryophanales; Bacillaceae.
GUGCCAGCAGCCGCGGUAAUACGUAGGUGGCAAGCGUUGUCCGGAAUUAUUGGGCGUAAAGCGCUCGCAGGCGGUUCUUUAAGUCUGAUGUGAAAUCUUACGGCUCAACCGUAAACGUGCAUUGGAAACUGGAGGACUUGAGUGCAGAAGAGGAGAGUGGAAUUCCACGUGUAGCGGUGAAAUGCGUAGAGAUGUGGAGGAACACCAGUGGCGAAGGCGACUCUCUGGUCUGUAACUGACGCUGAGGAGCGAAAGCGUGGGGAGCGAACAGGAUUAGAUACCCUGGUAGUCCACGCCGUAAACGAUGAGUGCUAGGUGUUAGGGGGUUUCCGCCCCUUAGUGCUGAAGUUAACGCAUUAAGCACUCCGCCUGGGGAGUACGGCCGCAAGGCUGAAACUCAAAAGAAUUGACGGGGGCCCGCACAAGCGGUGGAGCAUGUGGUUUAAUUCGAAGCAACGCGAAGAACCUUACCAGGUCUUGACAUCCUCUGAACACUCUAGAGAUAGAGUUUUCCCUUCGGGGACAGAGUGACAGGUGGUGCAUGGUUGUCGUCAGCUCGUGUCGUGAGAUGUUGGGUUAAGUCCCGCAACGAGCGCAACCCU